Molecule: long non-coding RNA, 291 nt
Organism: Aedes albopictus (Asian tiger mosquito)
Lineage: Eukaryota; Metazoa; Arthropoda; Insecta; Diptera; Culicidae
Exons: 2
Source: RefSeq, a predicted model, not a curated record
UAAAACAUGAUGGCAGCUUUAACGACUCACCAUUCGGUUGUCUGAAACGAUGUUCAAAGUAACACAUUUGCCAACUCUCCUAAUUAUUGUGCUAUUUUUCUUAGCAGGUCCGUUGUCGUGCUUUGCAAAAAUGUUGGCAAUGCAGUUGAAUGGUCUGUCUUGUAAUGAGCUGAACCAGGAGACCUAUCAGGAUGGAAACGUCUGCUUUUGUUCUUCGUAUGGUAUAACUCUGUACUGUCGGCCAGAGGCUGAAAUCGUGCUUAUGUGAAUUAAAUUAUGGGGAGGGAAUUA